RNA transcript from Carica papaya (papaya), 569 nucleotides. RefSeq lists it as uncharacterized. The record is from RefSeq and is a predicted model, not a curated record. NCBI's taxonomy places the organism in Eukaryota, Viridiplantae, Streptophyta, Magnoliopsida, Brassicales, Caricaceae.
AUAUAUUACUUUUUCCCCUCCGUUCCGCGCCGUACUCCCAUCCUGAUUCCCGUGCAGGUCUUGCCAAAACGUCACCUCCGGUUGCCGUUUUGCGUCGUCAUCAUCUCCGGCUGCUGUUUGUCUUGCAAUCAUGUCAGGGCUUUAGAGGAGGUGAAUGAUUAAUGUAUUAGAGGAGGAGGUAGACAACAAAAUACAGACUAUUUCGAAAACUAAGGAAGUGGCAAAAGAGCACAAGGAGCCGUUGCCGAGGCUACAAGAGAAGGUUGAAUUUCAUGGCAGCUCUGCCCUUUCUCCUAUUUUCACUGAAAUGAAGUCCGUGAAAGAGAACUGCUGAUUUAAUUUCACCCCCAUUUUCCCUUUUAUUUGAUUUUUGAUUGCUGUUCAAUGAUUCUCCUCUUCUGUCCUUCUUGGUGAUAAGACUCCUUCAUUUUUCCACUGUUGCCCGCUCUAAGAUCGUGGACAUCUUACUUAAAUUAUGACUUCUUGUUAAUAUUCCUUAACUUGUAUGGUGUAAGAUGAUAUUUUUGACAGUUUCCAACUAAUAAAGAAGUGUUUGCAUUCCUAGAGAA